Molecule: ribosomal RNA, 492 nt
Filed under: uncultured bacterium
Lineage: Bacteria
Description: partial 16S ribosomal RNA
Rfam family: Bacterial small subunit ribosomal RNA
Source: RNAcentral
AGUGAACGCUGGCGGUAGGCCUAACACAUGCAAGUCGAACGGCAGCACAGUAAGAGCUUGCUCUUACGGGUGGCGAGUGGCGGACGGGUGAGGAAUACAUCGGAAUCUACUUUUUCGUGGGGGAUAACGUAGGGAAACUUACGCUAAUACCGCAUACGACCUACGGGUGAAAGCAGGGGAUCUUCGGACCUUGCGCGAUUGAACGAGCCGAUGUCGGAUUAGCUAGUUGGCGGGGUAAAGGCCCACCAAGGCGACGAUCCGUAGCUGGUCUGAGAGGAUGAUCAGCCACACUGGAACUGAGACACGGUCCAGACUCCUACGGGAGGCAGCAGUGGGGAAUAUUGGACAAUGGGCGCAAGCCUGAUCCAGCCAUACCGCGUGGGUGAAGAAGGCCUUCGGGUUGUAAAGCCCUUUUGUUGGGAAAGAAAAGCAGCAGGUUAAUACCCCGCUGUUCUGACGGUACCCAAAGAAUAAGUACCGGCUAACUUCGUG